This is a non-coding RNA of Aedes albopictus (Asian tiger mosquito), 47 nucleotides long. The record is from Rfam. Lineage: Eukaryota; Metazoa; Arthropoda; Insecta; Diptera; Culicidae.
AAAACAGCCCUUCUCAGGGCUACAAGCCGUAUUCCUUAAAAGAGUUU